RNAcentral lists this ribosomal RNA (678 nucleotides) under uncultured Bacteroidota bacterium. RNAcentral describes it as "bacterial SSU rRNA". It matches the Rfam family "Bacterial small subunit ribosomal RNA", at positions 586 to 1263 of the family's 1533-position model. Lineage: Bacteria; Pseudomonadati; Bacteroidota. The record is from RNAcentral.
AGUCAGAGGUGAAAUCCUACAGCUCAACUGUAGAAUUGCCUUUGAUACUGAAAGACUUGAGUUAUUGUGAAGUAGUUAGAAUGUGUGGUGUAGCGGUGAAAUGCAUAGAUAUCACACAGAAUACCGAUUGCGAAGGCAGAUUACUAACAAUAUACUGACGCUGAGGGACGAAAGCGUGGGUAGCGAACAGGAUUAGAUACCCUGGUAGUCCACGCCGUAAACGAUGGAUACUAGCUGUUCGACCAACAUUGGUUGGUUGAGUGGCUAAGCGAAAGUGAUAAGUAUCCCACCUGGGGAGUACGGUCGCAAGACUGAAACUCAAAGGAAUUGACGGGGGCCCGCACAAGCGGUGGAGCAUGUGGUUUAAUUCGAUGAUACGCGAGGAACCUUACCAGGGCUUAAAUGUACGUUGCAUGAUUUAGAGAUAGAUCUUUCUUCGGACUACUUACAAGGUGCUGCAUGGUUGUCGUCAGCUCGUGCCGUGAGGUGUCAGGUUAAGUCCUAUAACGAGCGCAACCCCUGUCGUUAGUUGCCAGCAAGUAAAGUUGGGCACUCUAGCGAGACUGCCAGUGCAAACUGUGAGGAAGGUGGGGAUGACGUCAAAUCAUCACGGCCCUUACGUCCUGGGCUACACACGUGCUACAAUGGUCGGUACAGAGAGCAGCCACUACGCGAGUA